This 800-nucleotide ribosomal RNA is filed under the name uncultured Bacteroidota bacterium. RNAcentral describes it as "bacterial SSU rRNA". It matches the Rfam family "Bacterial small subunit ribosomal RNA", at positions 1 to 799 of the family's 1533-position model. Lineage: Bacteria; Pseudomonadati; Bacteroidota. The record is from RNAcentral.
AGGAGAGUUUGAUCCUGGCUCAGGAUGAACGCUAGCGGCAGGCUUAACACAUGCAAGUCGAGGGGCAUCGUGGAGUAGCAAUACUCUGACGGCGACCGGCGAAAGGGUGAGUAACGCGUGAGCAACAUGCCCGGUACCGGAGGAUAGUCGAUGGAAACGUCGCGUAAUACUCCGUAACAUACGGAACCGCAUGAUUCUGUAUUGAGAGAUUUAUCGCUACCGGAUUGGCUCGCGUCCCAUUAGGCAGUUGGCGGGGUAACGGCCCACCAAACCGACGAUGGGUAGGGGUUCUGAGAGGAAGGUCCCCCACAUUGGAACUGAGACACGGUCCAGACUCCUACGGGAGGCAGCAGUGAGGAAUAUUGGACAAUGGCCGAGAGGCUGAUCCAGCCAUGCCGCGUGCGGGAGGACGGCCCUAUGGGUUGUAAACCGCUUUUGUCAGGGGGCAAUAAGUGUCACGUGUGGCACGAUGAGAGUACCUGGCGAAUAAGCAUCGGCUAACUCCGUGCCAGCAGCCGCGGUAAUACGGAGGAUGCAAGCGUUAUCCGGAUUUAUUGGGUUUAAAGGGUGCGUAGGCGGACUUUUAAGCGUGAGGUGAAAUGCCAUGGCUCAACCAUGGAACUGCCUCGCGAACUGGGAGUCUUGAAUGCCCCUGCCGUGGGAGGAAUGUGUGGUGUAGCGGUGAAAUGCAUAGAGAUCACACAGAACACCGAUUGCGAAGGCAUCUCACGAAGGGGUGAUUGACGCUGAGGCACGAAAGCGUGGGGAUCAAACAGGAUUAGAUACCCUGGUAGUCCCCU